AUUUUUGUUAGUUCACUACAGUGCUCUUAAUAUUGACUAGUUGUGGACAAACGCAAGCUCCUGAUCUGCCCUUAAUUGGGUGUAUCAGCUGUAAGUUUGCGGACGUACCUUGAACAAAUCGGCUUGUUCAAAGUAGGCCUAGUGCCUGGACAUUCUAGCAUGGAAUGUUCGAUCGAGACCUGAUCGUUUGGUCGGAAACGAGUAAGGUCCAGGUCAAAAGAGACAUUUGGGGGCAUAAGAACUCGGCCGCGAGAGGUGAAAUUCUAAGACCGGCCGAGGUCUAACAAAAGCGAAAGCAUUUGCCAAGAAUGUUUUCAUUGAUCAAGAACGAAAGUUGGAGGAGCGAAAACGAUCAGAUACCGUUGUAGUUCCAACUUUAAACUAUGCCGGCUGUUGGGGCCAGUUCGGUACAUCCGUACUAAUUGACCUCCCAGGGAAACCUUAGCAGGGUUCUGGGGGGAGUACGGUCGCAAGUCUGAAACUUAAAGGAAUUGACGGAAGGGCACCACCAGGAGUGGAGCCUGCGGCUUAAUUUGACUCAACGCGGGGAAACUUACCCGGUCCGGACAUCGGAAGGAUUGACAGACUGAUCGCUCUUUCAUGAUACGGUGAAAGGUGGUGCAUGGCCGUUCAUAGUUGGUGGAGCGAUUUGUCUGGUUAAUUCCGUUAACGAACGAGACUUCUUCCUUCAUUUAGUAGAUUUAAUUGGGGUUUAGAUCAACUAAUUGAAGGGACUAACGCUAUUUAAAAGCGUAGGAAGUAAUCCGAUAACAGG
This 775-nucleotide ribosomal RNA is filed under the name Tetracapsuloides bryosalmonae. RNAcentral describes it as "SSU rRNA". It matches the Rfam family "Eukaryotic small subunit ribosomal RNA", at positions 648 to 1460 of the family's 1831-position model. Lineage: Eukaryota; Metazoa; Cnidaria; Myxozoa; Malacovalvulida; Saccosporidae. The record is from RNAcentral.